Cinara cedri is the source of this 1153-nucleotide non-coding RNA. The record is from the annotation of a GenBank genome assembly. NCBI's taxonomy places the organism in Eukaryota, Metazoa, Arthropoda, Insecta, Hemiptera, Aphididae.
AUUUUUCUUAAAUAAAAUUAAAAUAUUUAUAAAUAUGACAAAUAAUUAAUUGUGAAAAUUUGUCCUUUACUAGUAAAAUGUGUAUUUAAAUAGAUUUAUCUUAAUUCAUGUAAAUAUGACAAAUAUAUUAAUGAAUAUUCAAAAUAAAAUUGUAUUCUUAAAAAUUGUUUUUCAAUUGAUGUUUAUAAAAUUAAAACAGUAACUCCCCCUUUACUAAGAUUUGUUCAUACAAUUGUGUAAAUGGAUUAAAAUUAUAAUUUUUAGUUGAAUGUAAUGAAGGGUAAAUAUUGGAAUAGUUAUAAUAUAAUUGUUUUGAUUAUUUUAUAUUUAUAUAUGGAAAUAUUAAUGUAAAAAUAAAAAUAUUCAUAUCAAUAUUGUUAAAAUAGUUAUUAUUGUAUUUAGUGUAAUUAUUAUUUUGUAUUAUAAUAUUAUUUUAGGGAAUUUAUAAUAUAAAUAAAUAAAUUGAAAAUAAGUAACAAACAAUAUUAAUUUAUAAUAUGACUUAAUGUGAUAAUAAUUUAUACAUAUAUAUGUGAGAAAGUUCCAAGUUAAGUGUUUUUUAUGUCAUCACUUUUGAAAAAUAAAAAAACUAGCAGUAUAUAAUACAUUUUUCCGAGAAAUUUAAUAUUUUAUUGUAGUUUGACUGUUAGGUAUCAAAGCAUUCUAGUUAGUUGAAUUUGUCUUUUUAGCCAAAACUUAUAAAAACAUAUAUUAAAUUAAAUAACAAUGAAAAAUAUAUUGUAUUAUAAGUUUUUAUUUAAUUAUGAGAUAAGACAUUAAUUACUUUAGUAUAAGUUUAUAGGAAUUAAUUUUCUAAAUUAUAUUUUUAAAUAAUCAUUUUAUUUAAAUUAACUUCUCAUAUUUUUCUUAAAUAAAAUUAAAAUAUUUAUAAAUAUGAUAAAUAGUUAUAACAAUUUGUCCUUCACUAGUAAAAUGUGUAUACAACUGGAUUUAUCUCAGUUCAUGUGAAUAUGAUAAAUGUAUUAAUGAAUAUUUAAAAUAAAAUUGUAUUAAUAAGCUUAAAUUGUAUUCUUAAAAAUUGUUUAUCACUCAAUGUUUAUAAAAUUAAAACAAUAACUCCUUUACUAAGAUUUUCUCAUACAAUUGUGUAUGAAAAUAAAAUACUAUAAUUUUUAGUUGAAUGUAAUGAGGG